AUGAAACACUCCUACGGGAGGCAGCAGUGGGGAAUUUUGGACAAUGGGCGCAAGCCUGAUCCAGCCAUGCCGCGUGAGUGAAGAAGGCCUUCGGGUUGUAAAGCUCUUUCGGCCGGGAAGAAAUCGUGUUCUCUAACAUAGGACAUGGAUGACGGUACCGGACUAAGAAGCACCGGCUAACUACGUGCCAGCAGCCGCGGUAAUACGUAGGGUGCGAGCGUUAAUCGGAAUUACUGGGCGUAAAGCGUGCGCAGGCGGUUUUGUAAGACAGAUGUGAAAUCCCCGGGCUUAACCUGGGAACUGCGUUUGUGACUGCAAGGCUAGAGUACGGCAGAGGGGGGUGGAAUUCCUGGUGUAGCAGUGAAAUGCGUAGAUAUCAGGAGGAACACCGAUGGCGAAGGCAGCCCCCUGGGCCUGUACUGACGCUCAUGCACGAAAGCGUGGGGAGCAAACAGGAUUAGAAACCCUGGUAGUCCGAAGUUC
RNAcentral lists this ribosomal RNA (483 nucleotides) under uncultured bacterium. RNAcentral describes it as "bacterial SSU rRNA". It matches the Rfam family "Bacterial small subunit ribosomal RNA", at positions 328 to 802 of the family's 1533-position model. The record is from RNAcentral.